RNAcentral lists this ribosomal RNA (472 nucleotides) under uncultured bacterium. RNAcentral describes it as "bacterial SSU rRNA". It matches the Rfam family "Bacterial small subunit ribosomal RNA", at positions 28 to 507 of the family's 1533-position model. The record is from RNAcentral.
GAUGAACGCUGGCGGCGUGCUUAACACAUGCAAGUCGAACGAAGAUGCCGGAGUGCUUGCACUUUGGCAGACUGAGUGGCGGACGGGUGAGUAACGCGUGGGUAACCUGCCUUAUACGAGGGGGAUAACAGUUGGAAACGACUGCUAAUACCGCAUAAGCGCACGGUAUCGCAUGAUACAGUGUAGAAAAACUCCGGUGGUAUAAGAUCGGACCCGCGUCUGAUUAGCUUGUUGGUGAGGUAACGGCCCACCAAGGCGACGAUCAGUAGCCGGCCUGAGAGGGUGAACGGCCACAUUGGGACUGAGACACGGCCCAAACUCCUACGGGAGGCAGCAGUGGGGAAUAUUGCACAAUGGGGGAAACCCUGAUGCAGCGACGCCGCGUGAGUGAUGAAGUAUUUCGGUAUGUAAAACUCUAUCAGCAGGGAAGAUAAUGACGGUACCUGACUAAGAAGCACCGGCUAAAUACGUG